RNAcentral lists this ribosomal RNA (483 nucleotides) under uncultured bacterium. Its description in RNAcentral is "partial 16S ribosomal RNA". It matches the Rfam family "Bacterial small subunit ribosomal RNA", at positions 28 to 507 of the family's 1533-position model. The record is from RNAcentral.
GACGAACGCUGGCGGCGUGCUUAACACAUGCAAGUCGAACGCUGAAGCUCAGCUUUUGUUGGGUGGAUGAGUGGCGAACGGGUGAGUAACACGUAAGUAACCUGCCCCCUUCUUUGGGAUAACGCCCGGAAACGGGUGCUAAUACUGGAUAUUCACUGGUCUUCGCAUGGGGGUUGGUGGAAAGGGUUUUUCUGGUGGGGGAUGGGCUCGCGGCCUAUCAGCUUGUUGGUGGGGUGAUGGCCUACCAAGGCUUUGACGGGUAGCCGGCCUGAGAGGGUGACCGGUCACAUUGGGACUGAGAUACGGCCCAGACUCCUACGGGAGGCAGCAGUGGGGAAUAUUGCACAAUGGGCGCAAGCCUGAUGCAGCGACGCCGCGUGAGGGAUGGAGGCCUUCGGGUUGUGAACCUCUUUCGCUCAUGGUCAAGCCGCAACAAUGGUUGUGGUGAGGGUAGUGGGUAAAGAAGCGCCGGCUAACUACGUG